RNAcentral lists this long non-coding RNA (467 nucleotides) under Numida meleagris (helmeted guineafowl). RNAcentral's name for it is "lncRNA (ENSNMEG00000023181.1)". The record is from RNAcentral. Lineage: Eukaryota; Metazoa; Chordata; Aves; Galliformes; Numididae.
GUUUCAGCAGGAUAAAAAGCUUGUGUUGCUUCUGUGGGUCAGAGGUUCAACAUUAAGCUCUUUUGUAGUUAGAGAUCAUAGAUGGCUGCUUACCAAUUGGUAGAAAUAGAAAAAACAGGCAAUACUUUUGUCAAUAAACACUUGCAGGAAGUAUCUCUGCUGGAAGUAUCAAAAAAAUUUCCUGUAAUAUAGCUCAUGGUGGAUAUCAUCUUUUCCAUCAAAACCUGGCAGGUUUUGCUUCUGCCUUCUGUAUGUCAGUUCGCUUUCUAAUGGGAUCUUCUGAAUCUCACCUGUUUGAGAGCUCCUGGUCACCCUUCACAUCUGGUUGCACGAGUCAGGUGUGUAGAGCUGCUCUAAAGAAACAACUGGUGUUACAAAGAUGGGGUGUUGUUGGAAUCCUUACUUUCCACCUGGCAUUUGUGGCAUUCUUCGGAGAUUAUGUCAGCUACUCCAGUGAAUACUGCUAA